GAUGAACGCUGGCGGCGUGCCUAAUACAUGCAAGUCGAGCGAACAGACGAGGAGCUUGCUCCUCUGACGUUAGCGGCGGACGGGUGAGUAACACGUGGAUAACCUACCUAUAAGACUGGGAUAACUUCGGGAAACCGGAGCUAAUACCGGAUAAUAUAUUGAACCGCAUGGUUCAAUAGUGAAAGACGGUUUUGCUGUCACUUAUAGAUGGAUCCGCGCCGCAUUAGCUAGUUGGUAAGGUAACGGCUUACCAAGGCGACGAUGCGUAGCCGACCUGAGAGGGUGAUAGGCCACACGGGAACUGAGACACGGUCCAGACUCCUAAGGGAGGCAGCAGUAGGGAAUCGUCCGCAAUGGGCGAAAGCCUGACGGAGCAACGCCGCGUGAGUGAUGAAGGUCUUCGGAUCGUAAAACUCUGUUAUUAGGGAAGAACAAAUGUGUAAGUAACUAUGCACGUCUUGACGGUACCUAAUCAGAAAGCCACGGCUAACUACGUG
RNAcentral lists this ribosomal RNA (497 nucleotides) under uncultured bacterium. RNAcentral's name for it is "partial 16S ribosomal RNA". It matches the Rfam family "Bacterial small subunit ribosomal RNA", at positions 28 to 507 of the family's 1533-position model. The record is from RNAcentral.